CGAAGUGAUCCAGUUGGAAAGCCGCUGAGAGGAAAUUGGCUGGCCUCUUGCGCACUCAGCCGAGGCGACAAAAAGUUGUGAGGACUUUCUGAACGGCUUGUUCCGCUCGAGGUAGAAAGCAUCGAGCAUGUGGAGACAACGAUCCUCACUAGUCACGUGAGGCUUGAGGCAGAGGACUGGAAGAAAAAUGUCCUGACCCAUGUAGUAGGCAGAGACCACCUUCCGGAGAAACAAGGGGUGUGGGCGGAGCUGGACCUUGUCCUUGUGAAAGACCGUAUACGGCGGCUCGGAGUUCAGGGCCCUGAACUCCGAGACCUGCCUCGUCGAUGUGAAAGCAACCAAGAAGGCCACCUUCCACGAGAGGACCCUGCUGAUCAGAGGGAACGGAGGAAAGGCGUAGAGAAGCUGGCCUGACCAGAAUAGGAUGAAGGCAUUGGAGACAGUGCCCAUCCCUAGGCCCCCCCGGAGCAGAACUGGGGGCAUCGUCGGUUCUGCCGGGUCGUAAAUAGGUCCACCUGGGGAGUUCCCCACCUUCGGAAGAGCUGGUGGGCCACUUCCUGGUGUAGAGACCACUCAUGCUGAGAGGAAAAGUCUCUGCUCAAGCGAUCCGCCCUCACGUUCCAGGAGCCCAGCAGGUGAAAGGCUUUUAGGUGGAUGUCGUGAGCUAUACAGAAGUCCCACAGACUGAGGGCUUCAUGGCAGAGGAUCGGGCCCCACCUUGCCUGUUGAUGUAGAACACUGAGGCCGUGUUGUCCAUAAGAACCCGACUACCUUACCCUUCAGAUGUGAGCAGAAGGCCAUACAUGCCAGUCGCACCGCCCUGAGUUCCUUGACGUUUAUAUGAAGGGUUAGGUCUUGCAGAGACCACAGGCCUUCGGUCUGAAAAUUCCCCACAUGGACCCCCCAGCCCAAGUCCGAUGCAUGGGACACCAGCUCCAACAACGGGCCCUGUCCCUGAACGAGACCCAUUGGAGCAUAUUGCUUGGGGCGGACCACCACCAUAGGUAGGUGAUCACCGAGUUCGGCACGAUAAGGGCCUUGUCCAGUCUGUCCGUGACUCGGAGAACUUCAAGGCCAGCCAGACCUGGAGGGGCCUCACCCUGAGUCUGGCGUGGCGGACCACAAACGUGCAUGCCGACAUGUGACCUAGCAGCUGCAGGCAAGCCCUGGCUGUCGUCACCGGGAACCUUGCGAUCGAGUCGAUGAGCCCUUUCAGGGUGUCGAACCUGUCUGUGGGGAGAGAGGCCCUGGCCGACGUUGCAUCCAGGAGUGCCCCGAUAACUCUAUGCAUUGGACCGGGACCAACGUGGACUUGGUCUUGUUUACCAACAGGCCCAGGGCAGUGCAUGUGGACAGGAGGAGUGCCACAUGAUCCCUCACCUGCAAUCGGGAGGUGCCCUUCACCAGCCAGUAGUCCAGAUAGGGGAAUAUCUGGACUCCCCGGCAUCUGAGCCUUGGAUAGGUCGCCAGCUGUAAGGCAAAAUGGGAAGGAAUUUAAACUUGCUGAGUGAUGUUAAAAGGGUACAAAUGGAGAAUCUACACUAGUCUCUGGACAGAAGCAUUGACGCUUUUACAAGUGAGAGCACAGCUGAGAUGCAGUCAUGUGACCCAUAUGUCUGAGAAUACAACACCGAAAGCUGUCUUCUAUGGUGAAUUACAGAUUGGAACUCGUUUUGGGGCAAACCAGGGAAGCAUUACAAUGACCCUCUGAAAGCCAACCUCCAAUCUUGCAAUGAGCACCUCAAAUACCUUAGAGCUCUUAACCCACAAUAGGACCCAAUGGCAGCAGCUCUGCCACCUUGGACUGGAAGACUUCAAGAGCUCAUGGACUGCUGCAACCCAGGAGAAAAAUACAAGAUAUAAAGCUAAAAGCAGUGCACAUUCAUCUUCAAGUGUUUUCACCUGUGGCACUUGCAGACAGGGCUGUAGGUCAAAAAUUGAUCACUGAUCUCAUCUCAAGACCCAUGAUAAAUGACUGUUACUCAUCCAUCAAACUCGAUAGGAGACUCCAUCAUCAUCAGUUUGAUUACAUGUGUCUAUCUGUUCCAAAUGGGCCAAAAUGAAGGGAACAAAUGAACAGUAAUCUUGCUGAAAGUUCACAGGGAAAAAUCUUUGCUUUUUCCUGGUUAGGUCAUUAUCAAAGAUAUCUAUGAUUUUCCAGAAUGAUGUGUUAAAGAAUGAUUGUUCUUGCAAACAAUCAGCCAAAGCAAUUAGGCAAAUCUCUGGCCAGCAAAGAUUUCAGAUGGUGGUGAAGAACCUGACCCUGACUCUUUGACAAGAGAUAUGAAAAAGCUGAUAAAAGACUCUUGCAUUUCUGCAGUCAGGUUCUUGUGUGCUGUUAUGCCAAUUUCUUUAAGGGAAACAUAAGAAUAAGCACACAUUUCCUUCACUACCUGAUCCACGAAU
This is a long non-coding RNA of Mauremys reevesii (Reeves's turtle), 2406 nucleotides long. RefSeq lists it as uncharacterized. The record is from RefSeq and is a predicted model, not a curated record. Lineage: Eukaryota; Metazoa; Chordata; Testudines; Geoemydidae. The transcript is spliced from 4 exons.